Molecule: ribosomal RNA, 253 nt
Filed under: uncultured bacterium
Lineage: Bacteria
Description: partial 16S ribosomal RNA
Rfam family: Bacterial small subunit ribosomal RNA
Source: RNAcentral
UAUAGGGGGUGCAAACGUUGCUCGGAAUCAUUGGGCGUAAAGCGCACGUAGGCGGUCUGUUAUGUCGGAUGUGAAAGCCCUCGGCUCAACUGAGGAAGUGCAUCCGAAACUGGCAGGCUAGAGUACUAAAGAGGGUCGCGGGAUUCCCGGUGUAGAGGUGAAAUUCGUAGAUAUCGGGAGGAACACCGGUGGCGAAGGCGGCGACCUGGGUAGAUACUGACGCUGAGGUGCGAAAGCGUGGGGAGCAAACAGG